CCCACCCCAUUGCAGAGUAUCCAGGUGGUUCAGGUGGGCUGAACCCAGCAGGAACUCUAUGGCGAGGCUCUGACUGGCGUAAGCCAAACAGCCUGUGCCUCUUUCUGGCCAUGUGAUUGGUGGGGGAGAUGAAGCUCGUGCCCCAGGCAUAAACCAAUCAAUGCCUGGCAUUCUAAUAGCUACUACGAUUCGUUCAGGUUUAUAGAACGAGAGAUGCGAGGUGAGGCGCUUUCUCCUCCAGGUUAGGAAAGAGGUGGUACGUAACCCCAGUUGCUGGCAGCCAUCCUGGAGUAGGAAACUGAAAGCACAGAUAAACGGAGCUAAAGUUCUAAUUCCACCGCGCCUGAUGUCUUCCUCACUCCUCGACUUUUCAGGUAUUAAAAAUGGAACCACUUGCUUCAGGACAAUGGGGCCAGUUGCUGGCACUGGAAGAAGACACCCCCUACCACAGUAUUUCAAGACACUGGAGGCCAUUCAUGAGGGAAGUAAAUAGGGGUUCAGCACCAACUGUCUCUAUGGCACCUUCCAACUCAAAAGCCAGUGGGAGCUCCCAACUGUGAGGGCCCAAAGAGAAAAAGAAACAGCAUCAAAAGCAGUGGUACAUCAGAUAAACAGAAACAUCUCCGAAAAAGCUUACUUUCAAGAACCAAAUGAGGUGGAGGCUUAAAAUUCUUACAGUGUAAACUGAAGGUUAAAAAAGCUUCCCUCUAGGUCAGUUUUUCUACAAAUAUUCUAAAGAGGGUGACAAACGGCAACUGUCACCACACCAGCCUCUGCUAAACGGAAACUGGAACUACCCACUACCCAGAAA
Delphinapterus leucas (beluga whale) is the source of this 811-nucleotide non-coding RNA. The record is from RefSeq and is a predicted model, not a curated record. NCBI's taxonomy places the organism in Eukaryota, Metazoa, Chordata, Mammalia, Artiodactyla, Monodontidae.